AUACGGAAGGUCCGGGCGUUAUCCGGAUUUAUUGGGUUUAAAGGGAGCGCAGGCGGAGAUGCAAGCGUGACGUCAAAUUUCGGGGCUCAACCCCGUCUCGCGUCGCGAACUGCGUCCCUUGGUUGCGGGAAGGGGAGGCGGAACUCGUGGUGUUGCGGGGGAAUGCAUAGAUAUCACGAAGAACUCCGAUCGCGAAGGCAGCCUUCCGGCCCGUCAACGACGCUCAUGCUCGAAGGUGCGGGUAUCAAACAGGAUUAGAUACCCUGGUAGUCCGCACAGUAAACGAUUGACUCCCGCGGUUUGGCCUGUAUGGCUGAGCCGCCAAGCGAAAGCGUUAAGUGUCCCACCUGGGGAGUACGCCGGCAACGGUGAAACUUAAAGGAAUUGACGGGG
Molecule: ribosomal RNA, 393 nt
Filed under: uncultured bacterium
Lineage: Bacteria
Description: partial 16S ribosomal RNA
Rfam family: Bacterial small subunit ribosomal RNA
Source: RNAcentral